AUUGAACGCUGGCGGCAUGCCUUACACAUGCAAGUCGAAUGGUAACGGGCCUUCGGGUGCCGACGAGUGGCGAACGGGUGAGUAAUACAUCGGAACGUGCCCGAUCGUGGGGGAUAACGAGGCGAAAGCUUUGCUAAUACCGCAUACGAUCUACGGAUGAAAGCAGGGGACCGCAAGGCCUUGCGCGGACGGAGCGGCCGAUGGCAGAUUGGGUAGUUGGUGGGAUAAAAGCUUACCAAGCCGACGAUCUGUAGCUGGUCUGAGAGGAUGAUCAGCCACACUGGGACUGAGACACGGCCCAGACUCCUACGGGAGGCAGCAGUGGGGAAUUUUGGACAAUGGGCGCAAGCCUGAUCCAGCCAUGCCGCGUGCAGGAUGAAGGCCUUCGGGUUGUAAACUGCUUUUGUACGGAACGAAAAGCCUUCUUUUAAUACAGGAGGGUCAUGACGGUACCGUAAGAAUAAGCACCGGCUAACUACGUG
This 482-nucleotide ribosomal RNA is filed under the name uncultured bacterium. RNAcentral describes it as "partial 16S ribosomal RNA". It matches the Rfam family "Bacterial small subunit ribosomal RNA", at positions 30 to 507 of the family's 1533-position model. The record is from RNAcentral.